This 374-nucleotide ribosomal RNA is filed under the name Petriella setifera. RNAcentral's name for it is "LSU rRNA". It matches the Rfam family "Eukaryotic large subunit ribosomal RNA", at positions 264 to 658 of the family's 3401-position model. The record is from RNAcentral. Lineage: Eukaryota; Fungi; Ascomycota; Sordariomycetes; Microascales; Microascaceae.
GUCGAGUUGUUUGGGAAUGCUGCUCAAAAUGGGAGGUAAACCCCUUCUAAAGCUAAAUAUUGGCCAGAGACCGAUAGCGCACAAGUAGAGUGAUCGAAAGAUGAAAAGCACUUUGAAAAGAGAGUUAAACAGCACGUGAAAUUGUUGAAAGGGAAGCGCUUGCGACCAGACUUGUGCUCGUCGAAUCAGCCGUCGCUCGUCGGCGGCGCAUUUCGGCGGGCUCAGGCCAGCAUCAGUUCGCUGUAGGGGGAGAAAGGCGGUAGGAAUGUGGCUCUUCGGAGUGUUAUAGCCUACCGUAUAAUACCCCUCGGUGGACUGAGGACCGCGCAUCUGCAAGGAUGCUGGCGUAAUGGUUGUCAGCGACCCGUCUUGAA